This 410-nucleotide ribosomal RNA is filed under the name Histomonas meleagridis. RNAcentral describes it as "SSU rRNA". It matches the Rfam family "Eukaryotic small subunit ribosomal RNA", at positions 796 to 1231 of the family's 1831-position model. The record is from RNAcentral. Lineage: Eukaryota; Parabasalia; Tritrichomonadida; Dientamoebidae.
AAAAUGAUUCUGCAUGACUCGACGCUGUAUGAAGUCUUUGUUUUUUUCGGAAAACAAGCUCAAUGAGAGCCAUCGGGGGUAUAUCUAUCCCAUGACUAGUGGUGGAAUACGUUGACUCAUGGGAGAGAAUCGGAGGCGAAGGCGUCUACCUAAAGGGUUUCUGUCGAUCAAGGGCGACAGUAGGAGUAUCCAACAGGAUUAUAGACCCUGGUAGUUCCUACUGUAAACGAUGCCGACAGGAGUUUGUCAUUUUCUAAUGGCAGAAUCUUUAGAGAAAUCAUAGUUCUUGGGCUCUGGGGGAACUACGACCGCAAGGCUGAAACUUGAAGGAAUUGACGGAAGGGCACACCAGGGGUGGAGCCUGUGGCUUAAUUUGAAUCAACACGGGGAUAUUCCCCAAAACAGAAAUU